Molecule: ribosomal RNA, 857 nt
Filed under: uncultured bacterium
Lineage: Bacteria
Description: SSU rRNA
Rfam family: Bacterial small subunit ribosomal RNA
Source: RNAcentral
UACGGAGGGUGCAAGCGUUAUCCGGAUUCACUGGGUUUAAAGGGUGCGUAGGCGGGUAGGUAAGUCAGUGGUGAAAUCCUGGAGCUCAACUCCAGAACUGCCAUUGAUACUAUCUAUCUUGAAUAUUGUGGAGGUAAGCGGAAUAUGUCAUGUAGCGGUGAAAUGCUUAGAUAUGACAUAGAACACCCAUUGCGAAGGCAGCUUACUACGCAUAUAUUGACGCUGAGGCACGAAAGCGUGGGGAUCAAACAGGAUUAGAUACCCUGGUAGUCCACGCCCUAAACUAUGGAUACUCGACAUGUGCGAUACACUGUAUGUGUCUGAGCGAAAGCAUUAAGUAUCCCACCUGGGAAGUACGUUCGCAAGAAUGAAACUCAAAGGAAUUGGCGGGGGUCCGCACAAGCGGUGGAGUAUGUGGUUUAAUUCGAUGAUACGCGAGGAACCUUACCUGGGCUAGAAUGCUGGGAGACCGCUAGUGAAAGCUAGUUUUGUAGCAAUACACUGCCAGUAAGGUGCUGCAUGACCGUCGUCAGCUCGUGCCGUGAGGUGUUGGGUUAAGUCCCGCAACGAGCGCAACCCCUAUCUUUAGUUGCCAACAGGUAAUGCUGGGAACUCUAAAGAAACUGCCGCCGUAAGGUGUGAGGAAGGAGGGGAUGAUGUCAGGUCAUCAUGGCCUUUAUGCCCAGGGCUACACACGUACUACAAUGGGGGAGACAAAGGGCUGCAACAUAGCGAUAUGAAGCCAAUCCCAAAAACUCCCUCUCAGUUCAGAUUGCAGGCUGCAACUCGCCUGCAUGAAGCUGGAAUCGCUAGUAAUCGUAUAUCAGCAAUGAUACGGUGAAUACGUUCCCGGACCU